CUACGGGACGCACCAGUGGGGAAUAUUGCACAAUGGAGGAAACUCUGAUGCAGCAACGCCGCGUGGAGGAUGACACUUUUCGGAGCGUAAACUCCUUUUAUAUAGGAAGAAGAUGACGGUACUAUAUGAAUAAGCGCCGGCUAACUCCGUGCCAGCAGCCGCGGUAAUACGGAGGGCGCAAGCGUUACUCGGAAUCACUGGGCGUAAAGAGCGUGUAGGCGGAUUAAAAAGUCAGAAGUGAAAUCCUAUAGCUUAACUAUAGAACUGCUUCUGAAACUCUUAAUCUAGAAUAUGGGAGAGGUAGAUGGAAUUUCUGGUGUAGGGGUAAAAUCCGUAGAGAUCAGAAGGAAUACCCAUUGCGAAGGCGAUCUGCUGGAACUUUACUGACGCUGAGGCGCGAAAGCGUGGGGAGCAAACAGGAUUAGAUACCCGGGUAGUC
RNAcentral lists this ribosomal RNA (439 nucleotides) under uncultured bacterium. RNAcentral describes it as "partial 16S ribosomal RNA". It matches the Rfam family "Bacterial small subunit ribosomal RNA", at positions 339 to 795 of the family's 1533-position model. The record is from RNAcentral.